AUGCUAACUUCCGGGGCUUGGUCGCCGACAAGGCAAUCCUUUUCCAGGUUCCCACCACGAGAGGAGUUCGCCGACAGCCAUAUGCAUCACACCAGGAUGUUCCCUGAGGUUCAUGGGAGGCGUGAUAUGACUGACAAGAGUGGGAACAUACUUCCAGGAACUGUGGUUGACCUCAUGAUUUGCCACCCUACAGAGUUUGAUUUCUACUUGUGCAGCCAAGCUGGCAUUCAGGGAACUAGCAUGCCAACACACUACCAUUUUCUUUAUGAUGAGAAUCACUUCACAGCCGAUGCGCUUCAGUCACUGACCAACAAUCUCUGCUACACGUAA
Molecule: ribosomal RNA, 330 nt
Filed under: Triticum aestivum (bread wheat)
Lineage: Eukaryota; Viridiplantae; Streptophyta; Magnoliopsida; Poales; Poaceae
Description: partial small subunit ribosomal RNA
Source: RNAcentral